Saccostrea echinata is the source of this 488-nucleotide long non-coding RNA. RefSeq lists it as uncharacterized. Lineage: Eukaryota; Metazoa; Mollusca; Bivalvia; Ostreida; Ostreidae. The record is from RefSeq and is a predicted model, not a curated record. The transcript has 5 exons.
AGGAAACAAGGAAAGAAAUUGCAAAUAUAUCCCAGAACAGCUUAAGCAGAGACAAUUUCUCUGACAUACCAGAAAAUAUCUUAAAGAUUUAUCUACCGGACGAUGCAACCAUAGCAAGAGAGCUGUGGAGGAUCAAAGAAUACGCAGAUGAAUUGGACACAGUCAAGGAGGAAACAAAGGAAGAAUUGACCAAUAGAAACAUCGAAGAAGACAUAAAACCAGAGUUUGCCAGCGGAGCAGAAUAUCUGGACUGGUUGGAUCGACAACUCCCUUACCUCGAACCAUUUUUACCAGAAAACGCAGAACAUGUCUAUUUCUUCCGUCGAUGGAGUCGGGAUGAUUUCAGAUAUUACACGCCUUGUCUGGAAACACAUUUAGAAGAAGACCCCGGGAAAAAUCUAAAAGCUGAGAAUAGCGACGAGGACAUUGAACCAGAAUUUGCUAGUGGAGAAGAGUACCUUGGUUGGUUGGGUCGACAGCUACCAUGU